RNAcentral lists this unclassified non-coding RNA (231 nucleotides) under fungal sp. RNAcentral describes it as "partial internal transcribed spacer region". The stretch from base 1 to 48 matches the Rfam family "Eukaryotic small subunit ribosomal RNA", at positions 1784 to 1831 of the family's 1831-position model. The record is from RNAcentral. Lineage: Eukaryota; Fungi.
AAAAGUCGUAACAAGGUUUCCGUAGGUGAACCUGCGGAAGGAUCAUUACCGAGUACCGGGUCUCUCAGGCCCUUACUCCCACCCUUUGUGUACCUUACCACGAAAUUCAGUUGCCUUGGCGGGGGGGUUUUGCCCGCCCGCCAGGGGAACACCCCUAAACUCUCAUGAAUCGAGUCGUCUGAGAACAAAUUCAAUGAAUUAAAACUUUCAACAACGGAUCUCUUGGUUCUG